UACGAAGGGGGCUAGCGUUGCUCGGAAUGACUGGGCGUAAAGGGCGCGUAGGCGGCUUGGCAAGUCAGGCGUGAAAUUCCUGGGCUCAACCUGGAGUCGCCAUCCGAUACUGCCAUGACUUGAGUCCGGUAGGGGACCAUGGAAUUCCUGGUGUAGCGGUGAAAUGCGCAGAUAUCAGGAGGAACACCGGUGGCGAAGGCGGGACUCUGGGCCGAUACUGACGCUGAGGAGCGAAAGCGUGGGGAGCAAACAGG
RNAcentral lists this ribosomal RNA (254 nucleotides) under uncultured bacterium. RNAcentral's name for it is "partial 16S ribosomal RNA". It matches the Rfam family "Bacterial small subunit ribosomal RNA", at positions 524 to 776 of the family's 1533-position model. The record is from RNAcentral.